Molecule: ribosomal RNA, 433 nt
Filed under: uncultured bacterium
Lineage: Bacteria
Description: partial 16S ribosomal RNA
Rfam family: Bacterial small subunit ribosomal RNA
Source: RNAcentral
AGCGAACGCUGGCGGCAUGCCUAACACAUGCAAGUCGAACGAGACCUUCGGGUCUAGUGGCGCACGGGUGCGUAACGCGUGGGAACCUGCCCUUAGGUUCGGAAUAACUCCCCGAAAGGGGUGCUAAUACCGGAUAAUGUCUUCGGACCAAAGAUUUAUCGCCUUUGGAUGGGCCCGCGUUGGAUUAGCUAGUUGGUAGGGUAAAAGCCUACCAAGGCGACGAUCCAUAGCUGGUCUGAGAGGAUGAUCAGCCACACUGGGACUGAGACACGGCCCAGACUCCUACGGGAGGCAGCAGUGGGGAAUAUUGGACAAUGGGCGAAAGCCUGAUCCAGCAAUGCCGCGUGAGUGAUGAAGGCCUUAGGGUUGUAAAGCUCUUUUACCCGGGAUGAUAAUGGCAGUACCGGGAGAAUAAGCUCCGGCUAACUCCGUG